Molecule: ribosomal RNA, 465 nt
Filed under: Vreelandella stevensii
Lineage: Bacteria; Pseudomonadati; Pseudomonadota; Gammaproteobacteria; Oceanospirillales; Halomonadaceae
Description: partial 16S ribosomal RNA
Rfam family: Bacterial small subunit ribosomal RNA
Source: RNAcentral
CCUACGGGGGGCAGCAGUGGGGAAUAUUGGACAAUGGGCGAAAGCCUGAUCCAGCCAUGCCGCGUGUGUGAAGAAGGCCUUCGGGUUGUAAAGCACUUUCAGUGGGGAAGAAAGCCUUGGGGCUAAUACCCUCGAGGAAGGACAUCACCCACAGAAGAAGCACCGGCUAACUCCGUGCCAGCAGCCGCGGUAAUACGGAGGGUGCGAGCGUUAAUCGGAAUUACUGGGCGUAAAGCGCGCGUAGGCGGUCUGAUAAGCCGGUUGUGAAAGCCCCGGGCUCAACCUGGGAACGGCAUCCGGAACUGUCAGGCUAGAGUGCGGGAGAGGAAGGUAGAAUUCCCGGUGUAGCGGUGAAAUGCGUAGAGAUCGGGAGGAAUACCAGUGGCGAAGGCAGCCUUCUGGACUGACACUGACGCUGAGGUGCGAAAGCGUGGGUAGCAAACAGGAUUAGAUACCCUAGUAGUC